ACUUCUGUAUGUUGUAAGUCGCUCUGGAUAAGAGCGUCUGCUAAAUGACGUAAA
This is a non-coding RNA of Salmo salar (Atlantic salmon), 54 nucleotides long. NCBI's taxonomy places the organism in Eukaryota, Metazoa, Chordata, Actinopteri, Salmoniformes, Salmonidae. The record is from Rfam.